UACGGGGGAUGCGAGCGUUAUCCGGAUUUAUUGGGUUUAAAGGGCGCGUAGGCGGGACGUCAAGUCAGCGGUAAAAGACUGCAGCUAAACUGUAGCACGCCGUUGAAACUGUCGACCUGGAGACGAGACGAGGGAGGCGGAACAAGUGAAGUAGCGGUGAAAUGCAUAGAUAUCACUUGGAACCCCGAUAGCGAAGGCAGCUUCCCAGGCUCGAUCUGACGCUGAUGCGCGAGAGCGUGGGUAGCGAACAGG
RNAcentral lists this ribosomal RNA (252 nucleotides) under Butyricimonas virosa. Its description in RNAcentral is "partial 16S ribosomal RNA". It matches the Rfam family "Bacterial small subunit ribosomal RNA", at positions 524 to 776 of the family's 1533-position model. The record is from RNAcentral. Lineage: Bacteria; Pseudomonadati; Bacteroidota; Bacteroidia; Bacteroidales; Odoribacteraceae.